This 504-nucleotide ribosomal RNA is filed under the name uncultured soil bacterium. RNAcentral's name for it is "bacterial SSU rRNA". It matches the Rfam family "Bacterial small subunit ribosomal RNA", at positions 26 to 506 of the family's 1533-position model. The record is from RNAcentral.
AGAGUGAACGCUGGCGGUAGGCCUAACACAUGCAAGUCGAACGGCAGCACAGUGGUAGCAAUACCAUGGGUGGCGAGUGGCGGACGGGUGAGGAAUACAUCGGAAUCUACCUUUUCGUGGGGGAUAACGUAGGGGAACUUACGCUAAUACCGCAUACGCCCUUCGGGGGAAAGCCGGGGAUCGCAAGACCUGGCGCGGAUAGAUGAGCCGAUGUCGGAUUAGCUAGUUGGUGAGGUAAUGGCUCACCAAGGCGACGAUCCGUAGCUGGUCUGAGAGGAUGAUCAGCCACACUGGAACUGAGACACGGUCCAGACUCCUACGGGAGGCAGCAGUGGGGAAUAUUGGACAAUGGGCGCAAGCCUGAUCCAGCCAUACCGCGGUGGGUGAAGAAGGCCUUCGGGUUUAGUAAAGUCCCCGUUUUAGUUACGGGAAAGAAAAGCAAAUCGGUUAAUUACCCGGUUGUUCGUAGACGGUACCCAAAGAAUAAGACACCGCUAACUUCGU